UACGUAGGGGGCAAGCGUUAUCCGGAUUUACUGGGUGUAAAGGGAGCGUAGGCGGCGAUGCAAGUCAGAAGUGAAAGCCCGGGGCUCAACUCCGGGACUGCUUUUGAGACUGUGUUGCUAGAUUGCAGGAGAGGUAAGUGGAAUUCCUAGUGUAGCGGUGAAAUGCGUAGAUAUUAGGAGGAACACCAGUGGCGAAGGCGGCUUACUGGACUGUAAAUGACGCUGAGGCUCGAAAGCGUGGGGAGCAAACAGG
Molecule: ribosomal RNA, 253 nt
Filed under: uncultured bacterium
Lineage: Bacteria
Description: partial 16S ribosomal RNA
Rfam family: Bacterial small subunit ribosomal RNA
Source: RNAcentral